This 253-nucleotide ribosomal RNA is filed under the name uncultured bacterium. RNAcentral's name for it is "partial 16S ribosomal RNA". It matches the Rfam family "Bacterial small subunit ribosomal RNA", at positions 524 to 776 of the family's 1533-position model. The record is from RNAcentral.
UACGGAGGGUGCAAGCGUUGUCCGGAAUCACUGGGCGUAAAGAGCGUGUAGGCGGCCGGGUAGGUCUGCUGUGAAAACUCAGGGCUUAACCCUGAGCCUGCAGUGGGUACGGGCAGACUAGAGUGUGGUAGGGGAGAUCGGAAUUCCUGGUGUAGCGGUGGAAUGCGCAGAUAUCAGGAGGAACACCGGUGGCGAAGGCGGAUCUCUGGGCCAUAACUGACGCUGAGGAGCGAAAGCAUGGGGAGCGAACAGG